This 1833-nucleotide long non-coding RNA is filed under the name Mus musculus (house mouse). RNAcentral describes it as "predicted gene, 47557". Lineage: Eukaryota; Metazoa; Chordata; Mammalia; Rodentia; Muridae. The record is from RNAcentral.
AGAGAAGCCAUGCCCUGAAAACAACAUAGAGUUUCAGAAGGCUCAGAGGAAGAUGGCAGUGGGGGAGUGUUUCUUGACACUUAGUUUCCCCACCUCCAUCAGUUGCUAGAAGUGUCUGUCAAACGUUAUGACAACCAAGAGAUUCUCCAUGUUUGUAAAAGCUUACUCUGAGCCACCUGUACGGGGUAGGAGUUGAGGCCUCAUGUCCUCUUCAUAAGGCACAGAUCAGAAUUGGGGAGAUGUCCCAGUGGUGCUUGCUGGACAAGCAUGAGGGACUGAGAUCAAUCCCAGCACCCACAUACAAAGCCAGGUGUUGUCGCUAUGCCUGUGACCCUGGUUCUGUGGGUCAUAAGUCAUAGAUGAGGAGCAGGACCACUGGGGCUUCCUGGCCAUCAGCCUUGCUCCAAGUUCAGCGAGAGAUCUUGUCUUAAGGGAAUAAGAUGCAAAGUGAUAAAGCAGAACACAUGACAUCUCCAUCUAACCAAAGAGUUCAUGAGCAUUGGUGUGCCAUGUGUAACACAGUGCACACACACACACACACACACAUGCACUAAUGCACACACACACACUUGCACACCACUCCAUCUCCAUAAUUUCUGGUUCAAUAGGGGACACAGGACAUUUCUACCAAAUUCCUAGGUAUUUCUUAUUAUGCUGCAGAAAACUUUGAAAUUGUUGUUUUUCAGCAGAAGGCAAAAAGACCCAUGAGAAAGGUCAAAGAUGUGGCUGAGGACAAUAGAAGAGAACAGAAAUGAAGAAACAGAAUGGUUAUCUGGCAGUGACGGCUGGCUGGCACUCAGGAUUAAAGCAGCCAUAUCUAAGGAAGUGGAUCUGACAAGACUUGGCGAUUUCUGGGUCAGUUUUGGUGGUAAGAGACCAGACCCGAGGCCUAAAGCUGAUAACUAUGGUUGGUUGGGGCAUUUACAAAGGAGGAGGUAAGUGAAUUUGGGGUAUAGAGUAUAUUAAAUAAUAGAUGGUGCUAAAGAUGAUUGUGGAUGUGUAAAGAUGACACAACCACACAUUAAUUAUUCCUCUCCCAAGAAACAAGGCAUACAUCCAUCUCUUCUUAUUGAGCCUGGAGAUAUUUAUAUCUGCUUUGACUAACAGAGCCUGGUGAUUCUCAGCAAGCCAAGGGAAAGAUAGUGAAGCCAGCAUGCAUCUUAUAGAUAAAUGAUCCCCCAAAGCUGAAGAUUAGUCAGUGAUCCCUCUUGGAACUGCAUGGAAGGAAAGAAUUCUCCAGCUGACUGUUCUUCAAGAUCUUGACCUACAAAUUGAUGAAAUAUAAACAAAUGGCUGUCAUAUUAAGACACUAAAUUUUUGGUAAUUUGUUUUCCAGAAAUACAUUGCUAGAUACCACUACUAAAGACUGGCCUUACGAAUUUCCAUCUAUGGAACAUUGUCCUACCAUACUGUGGUGUAAUUAUUUUCUAAGGACGAGGUGGUAUCCUGCAUCAAGAACAAAGGCUUGCACAGCAGGCACCCAUUUGCCAUCUCUUCCUUCAGUUCCUACCCAAGAAACUGACCUGACUCACUGGGCAGCAAAGUCUAGGGUAGAUAUGCUGCCUGCUUUGUUCUCUGUGCUCUCAGCAGGCUGAACUGGGCCCUUCGGCUGGCUUCCACAGGCUUCCGCAGUGUGCUUUAGCCUGUCCUGUCUGAAGACAUUCACAGGAGGGGCAUUCUCCAAAAUAAGAAACAGGGCCAGGGCAUUCAGUUCCUCUAGAAAUACACAUGGGUUUGAACCUAAAGUGGGUAAUUGUGUGCAGAAACAUGUUUUGAGUUUUGCCUCUCCCAGAACCUUUGAAAAAUAGAACAUAAUGUGUAGCCAAACCCCCA